GAUAAACGCUGGCGGCGUGCAUGAGACAUGCAAGUCGAACGAAGGAUCGGGCUUGCUCGAUCCUUAGUGGCGGACGGCUGAGUAACGCGUAGGUGACCUACCCCGAAGUGGGGAAUAACUGCCCGAAAGGGUGGCUAAUACCGCAUGUGGUCGCACGUUCAUUCGUGCGAGUAAAGCCGCAAGGCGCUUCGGGAGGGGCCUGCGUCCGAUUAGCUCGUUGGUGGGGUAAUGGCUUACCAAGGCGACGAUCGGUAGGUGGUCUGAGAGGACGAUCACCCAGACUGGGACUGAGACACGGCCCAGACUCCUACGGGGGGCAGCAGUCGGGAAUUUUGCUCAAUGGGGGAAACCCUGAAGCAGCAACGCCGCGUGAGGGAUGAAGGCCUUCGGGUUGUAAACCUCUUUUGUCAGGGACGAUGAUGACGGUACCUGGCGAAUAAGCCACGGCUAACUACGUG
This 458-nucleotide ribosomal RNA is filed under the name uncultured bacterium. Its description in RNAcentral is "partial 16S ribosomal RNA". It matches the Rfam family "Bacterial small subunit ribosomal RNA", at positions 28 to 507 of the family's 1533-position model. The record is from RNAcentral.